UGGGCGUAAAGAGCUCGUAGGCGGUUUGUCGCGUCUGCUGUGAAAUCCGGAGGCUCAACCUCCGGCCUGCAGUGGGUACGGGCAGACUAGAGUGCGGUAGGGGAGAUUGGAAUUCCUGGUGUAGCGGUGGAAUGCGCAGAUAUCAGGAGGAACACCGAUGGCGAAGGCAGAUCUCUGGGCCGUAACUGACGCUGAGGAGCGAAAGGGUGGGGAGCAAACAGGCUUAGAUACCCUGGUAGUCCACCCCGUAAACGUUGGGAACUAGUUGUGGGGUCCAUUCCACGGAUUCCGUGACGCAGCUAACGCAUUAAGUUCCCCGCCUGGGGAGUACGGCCGCAAGGCUAAAACUCAAAGGAAUUGACGGGGACCCGCACAAGCGGCGGAGCAUGCGGAUUAAUUCGAUGCAACGCGAAGAACCUUACCAAGGCUUGACAUAUACGAGAACGGGCCAGAAAUGGUCAACUCUUUGGACACUCGUAAACAGGUGGUGCAUGGUUGUCGUCAGCUCGUGUCGUGAGAUGUUGGGUUAAGUCCCGCAACGAGCGCAACCCUCGUUCUAUGUUGCCAGCACGUAAUGGUGGGAACUCAUGGGAUACUGCCGGGGUCAACUCGGAGGAAGGUGGGGAUGACGUCAAAUCAUCAUGCCCCUUAUGUCUUGGGCUUCACGCAUGCUACAAUGGCCGGUACAAAGGGCUGCAAUACCGCGAGGUGGAGCGAAUCCCAAAAAGCCGGUCCCAGUUCGGAUUGAGGUCUGCAACUCGACCUCAUGAAGUCGGAGUCGCUAGUAAUCGCAGAUCAGCAACGCUGCGGUGAAUACGUUCCCGGGUCUUGUACACACCGCCCGUCAAGUCAUGAAAGUCGGUAACACCUGAAGCCGGUGGCCUAACCCUUG
This 892-nucleotide ribosomal RNA is filed under the name Microbacterium sp. Its description in RNAcentral is "bacterial SSU rRNA". It matches the Rfam family "Bacterial small subunit ribosomal RNA", at positions 555 to 1444 of the family's 1533-position model. The record is from RNAcentral. Lineage: Bacteria; Bacillati; Actinomycetota; Actinomycetes; Micrococcales; Microbacteriaceae.